ACGUGAUCUGAGUUCAGACCGGAGUAAUCCAGGUCAGUUUCUAUCUAUAGUAGAGCUUUCUCUAGUACGAAAGGACCGAAAAAGCGUAGCCUAUGUUACAUGCAAGCUAUCACUAAUAACUUAUGUAUAAAACUUAAUAAGUAUUUGACCUAUAACUUACCUCAAGAAAAGAGA
Molecule: ribosomal RNA, 174 nt
Filed under: Scinax melanodactylus
Lineage: Eukaryota; Metazoa; Chordata; Amphibia; Anura; Hylidae
Description: partial 16S large subunit ribosomal RNA
Source: RNAcentral